RNAcentral lists this ribosomal RNA (1537 nucleotides) under Mycobacterium kansasii ATCC 12478. RNAcentral describes it as "bacterial SSU rRNA". It matches the Rfam family "Bacterial small subunit ribosomal RNA". Lineage: Bacteria; Bacillati; Actinomycetota; Actinomycetes; Mycobacteriales; Mycobacteriaceae. RNAcentral also lists the same sequence under 1 other name. The record is from RNAcentral.
UUUGUUUGGAGAGUUUGAUCCUGGCUCAGGACGAACGCUGGCGGCGUGCUUAACACAUGCAAGUCGAACGGAAAGGUCUCUUCGGAGACACUCGAGUGGCGAACGGGUGAGUAACACGUGGGCAAUCUGCCCUGCACACCGGGAUAAGCCUGGGAAACUGGGUCUAAUACCGGAUAGGACCACUUGGCGCAUGCCUUGUGGUGGAAAGCUUUUGCGGUGUGGGAUGGGCCCGCGGCCUAUCAGCUUGUUGGUGGGGUGACGGCCUACCAAGGCGACGACGGGUAGCCGGCCUGAGAGGGUGUCCGGCCACACUGGGACUGAGAUACGGCCCAGACUCCUACGGGAGGCAGCAGUGGGGAAUAUUGCACAAUGGGCGCAAGCCUGAUGCAGCGACGCCGCGUGGGGGAUGACGGCCUUCGGGUUGUAAACCUCUUUCACCAUCGACGAAGGUCCGGGUUCUCUCGGAUUGACGGUAGGUGGAGAAGAAGCACCGGCCAACUACGUGCCAGCAGCCGCGGUAAUACGUAGGGUGCGAGCGUUGUCCGGAAUUACUGGGCGUAAAGAGCUCGUAGGUGGUUUGUCGCGUUGUUCGUGAAAUCUCACGGCUUAACUGUGAGCGUGCGGGCGAUACGGGCAGACUAGAGUACUGCAGGGGAGACUGGAAUUCCUGGUGUAGCGGUGGAAUGCGCAGAUAUCAGGAGGAACACCGGUGGCGAAGGCGGGUCUCUGGGCAGUAACUGACGCUGAGGAGCGAAAGCGUGGGGAGCGAACAGGAUUAGAUACCCUGGUAGUCCACGCCGUAAACGGUGGGUACUAGGUGUGGGUUUCCUUCCUUGGGAUCCGUGCCGUAGCUAACGCAUUAAGUACCCCGCCUGGGGAGUACGGCCGCAAGGCUAAAACUCAAAGGAAUUGACGGGGGCCCGCACAAGCGGCGGAGCAUGUGGAUUAAUUCGAUGCAACGCGAAGAACCUUACCUGGGUUUGACAUGCACAGGACGCGUCUAGAGAUAGGCGUUCCCUUGUGGCCUGUGUGCAGGUGGUGCAUGGCUGUCGUCAGCUCGUGUCGUGAGAUGUUGGGUUAAGUCCCGCAACGAGCGCAACCCUUGUCUCAUGUUGCCAGCGGGUAAUGCCGGGGACUCGUGAGAGACUGCCGGGGUCAACUCGGAGGAAGGUGGGGAUGACGUCAAGUCAUCAUGCCCCUUAUGUCCAGGGCUUCACACAUGCUACAAUGGCCGGUACAAAGGGCUGCGAUGCCGCGAGGUUAAGCGAAUCCUUUUAAAGCCGGUCUCAGUUCGGAUCGGGGUCUGCAACUCGACCCCGUGAAGUCGGAGUCGCUAGUAAUCGCAGAUCAGCAACGCUGCGGUGAAUACGUUCCCGGGCCUUGUACACACCGCCCGUCACGUCAUGAAAGUCGGUAACACCCGAAGCCAGUGGCCUAACCCUCGGGAGGGAGCUGUCGAAGGUGGGAUCGGCGAUUGGGACGAAGUCGUAACAAGGUAGCCGUACCGGAAGGUGCGGCUGGAUCACCUCCUUUCUAA